GCGGAGACGGUCGCGGCGGCGGCGUUGGUGGAGGGUCGCGGCGGCGCUGGUGGAGACUGUCGCGGCGGCGAGAGAUCCGAAACGACGGCGGCAAAGAUGAACCCGGCGGCGCUGCAGACGAAGACGAAGAUGAAGAUGAACUGCCGGAUCUAGGGCUCCUGCGCACAUAUAUAGGGGCGGACCCUUUAGCACCGGUUCCAGCCACGGACCGGUGCUAAAGGGUCCAGCGCGCGCUAGGGCGCGCUCCUGAAAUUUUCAGGACCCUUUAGCACCGGUUUCCACUAUGGGCCGGUUCUAAAGGCCCUGUUUUUUAGUUUAGGGUUUUUCAAUUGUUUAUAUAUACAGUUUAUAUUAUAAAUUGUAUAGUAAAUUAAAUAUCUUGCAUAAUGUUUUUUAAACAGUGACAUAUAUUGUAAUUUGUUUUAAUGUACACAUGAAAAUUUUUAAACUUAAAUAUCUUAUUGUAUUUUUAUAAUUUGCAAUGAUUUUGUAAGAAAUGUUUAGUAUUUUGUUAAUGCAAAAAUAUAUUAUUCCAAUAAAUUUACAAAAACUAUAUACAAUCAACUGGAAAUUUAUUUUCACAUCAUAUUGAUGUAAAACUUUUUAUUUUUGUUAUUUAUUACUAGGAAUGCUAGUUGGGUAUAGUUUUCAUCAAAUAAAAAAUCAUAUAAGAAUAUAUAUCUUGAUGAACACACCCUUUGACCGAACCCUAGAUUGUCCCAAAUGGAAAAGUCAUGAAUACAAAGUUUGCUACACUCAUCAAGUUCUACAUUUUGUCUAAUGGUCAACUUUUCAUUUGGAAAAGUUUGAACCACUGAAUUUUGAAUUUUCAUAGAACUCAUAGCCACGCAGCGGUUUCGGAACCCUAGAUGGUCUCGAAUGGAAAAGUCAUGAAUACCAAUAUUGUUCCACUCAUCAAAAUCUACAUUUAAUAUAUAGACCAUUUUUGCAUUUGACAAAGUUUUGGGAAGGUGUAGUUGCAAAUCCACAAUUGACACAUAUAGUUUCAUUUAGUUUGUGUGAGAUUCAAGAAUUGGUGGGUAUUGUUAACUUAAACUUUCUCAAAUGGAACAAUUGUGUAUAUAAAAAGUUUAGAUAUUGAUGAUAUCUAACAACUUGGUAUUCAAAAUUUUUUCAUUUGAAGUAAUUUAGUUUGUCAUUUGACCAAGUUUGACCAAAACCCGUCUUGGAUUUUGAACAAAUGUGCUUAGGAUUGGCUCAAAUUUAUCCAAAUGGAAAAAUGGUCAAUAUAUCAAAUGUAGAUCUUGAUGAUCUCUAACAACUUUGUAUUCAAACUUUUUUCAUUUGAAGUCAUCAAAUGGGCCAUUUGAUCAAGUUUGACCAAAGUCAAAGCAUUGGUUUUUACAAAAACACCCUUUGACCGAACCCUAGAUGGUCCCAAAUGGAAAAGUCAUGAAUACAAAGUUUGCUACACUCAUCAAGUUCUACAUUUUGUCUAAUGGUCAACUUUUCAUUUGGAAAAGUUUGAACCACUGAAUUUUGAAUUUUCAUAGAACUCAUAGCCACGCAGCGGUUUCGGAACCCUAGAUGGUCACGAAUGGAAAAGUCAUGAAUACCAAUAUUGUUCCACUCAUCAAAAUCUACAUUUCAUAUAUAGACCAUUUUUGCAUUUGACAAAGUUUUGGGAAGGUGUAGUUGAAAAUCCACAAUUGACACAUAUAGUCAUGACAAUUUUUGCAUUUGAUGAUCUCUAACAAUUGGAAAAGUCAUGAAUACAAAGUCAUGAAUACAAAGUUUGUUACACACAUCAAAAUUCACAAUUCUCAAAUAUAGUUUCAUACAAAGUCAAGCCGACACAACAGUGAACUUCUUCUUGACGUAUGACCCUUGGUUAUGAUCCUGCCGUAACGAUGGAGUAUCCUCAUUGUUUAACAGAAUGCUUGGGUCUUUGUUGACUAUGAAGGGCGGAAUUCGAUCAUCCCUUUCGUAAUCGCCUGACAUGUCUGACUUGUCCUCAAUUCCGACAAUGUUUCUUUUCCCAGAAAGGACAAUGUGGCGCUUUGGCUCAUUGAUGACUGAGUGGUCAUCAUUUUUUCCUCUCUUUGGUUUCGUAGACAUAUCUUUGACAUAGAACACCUGACUCACGUCUGCAGCAAGGACGAAUGGUUCGUCUUUGAACCCACUAUUGUUAAGGUCCACGGUUGUCAUCCCAUACUCCUUGUCGACUGUUACCCCACCUCCGGUCAUCUUCACCCAUUGGCACCGGAACAAAGGAACUUUAAAAUUAGCUGCAUAGACUAGUUCCCAUAUGUCUUCUAUGCGUCCAUAAUAUGUUUGUCUGUUCCCAUUUGGAUCCGUGGCAUCCACGCGUACACCACUAUUUUGGUUGGUGCUCCUUUUAUCUUGGCCAACUGUGUAAAAUGUGUUACCAUUUAUCUCGUACCCUUUGUAUGUGAGGACAUGCCAUGAUGGUUGCCUGGCCAACAAAUAAAGCUGCUCAUCAAUGUUUUCAUCACCUUGACAUUUUUUGCGCAACCAAUCGCCAAAAGUUUCCAUGUGCUGACACAUUAUCCAAGCUUCAUUCUUCCCGGGCCACUGGGACCGUAGGAAAUCUUUGUGUACCUCAACAUAUGGUUCCACCAAUGAGGAGUUCUGGAGAACUGUGUAGUGUGCUUUAUUGAAGUAAUCGUCUCCCGUACCAAUAUAUGUUUUCUUCCCAAGUGUUCCCUUUCCGCUGAGUCUGCCCUCGUGUCGAGAUUCAAGAAUGCCAAUUGGGUCAAGGUCUGGAAUAAAGUCAACACAGAACUCUAUGACCUCCUCUGUUCCGUAGCCCUUGGCAAUGCUUCCUUCUGACCGGGAACGACUAUGGACAUAUUUUUUGAGAACACCCAUGAAUCUCUCGAACGGGAACAUGUUGUGUAGGAACACAGGACCGAGAAUACGAAUCUCUUUGACCAGAUGAACUAGGAGGUGUGUCAUGAUAUCGAAGAAGGAUGGAGGGAACACCAACUCAAAGCUGACGAGACAUUGAACGACAUCAUUCUGCAGAGUAGCUAGUUGCUCUGGAUUGAUUGCCUUCUGAGAAAUUGCAUUGAGGAAUGCACAUAGCUUUACGGUGGCUAGACGUACGUGUGGAGGUAGAAUUCCUCUUAAAACGACCAGCAGCAAUUGCGUCAUUAGAACAUGACAGUCAUGGGACUUCAAGUUCAGGAAUUUCUACUCUGGCACAUUAAUUAUUCCCUUGAUAUUGGAGGAGAAUCCAGAUGGGACCUUGAUGCUGCUAAGACAUUCAAACAUGCUUUCCUUCUCUUCUUUGCUCUGAGUGUAGCUAGCAGGGCUUAAGUAAUGACGCCCAUCAUCUGUCUUUUCUAGAUGCAGGUUGUCUCGUUCUUUCAUACGCUGCAAGUCUUGUCGUGCUUCAAGUGAAUCCUUAGACUUCCCGUAGACACCCAUGAAUCGGAGCAAGUUCACACAAAGAUUCUUUGUCAGGUGCAUCAUGUCGAUCACGUUGCGGACCUCUAGGACAUUCUAGUAAGGUAGCUCCCAAAUAUGUAUUUCUUCUUCCACAUGGGUACGUGUCCCUUAGCAUCCUUGGGAAUAGGUUCGCUGCCUCGUCAUUUCCAAAUACCACUUUUAUAUCCUUGACCAUUUCGAGUACAUCAUCCCCAGUUCGAUUGAGAGGUUUGGUCUGGUGGUCUGCCUUGCCUUUAAAAUGCUUGCCUUUCUUUCGUACUGGAUGGUUCACAGGAAGAAACCGACGGUGGCCAAGGUACACGACCUUUCGACAUUUUUUUUCAAAAAUACACAGUCAAGGUCUUCAUAACAAUGUGUGCAUGCAUUAUAUCCCUUGUUUGACUGGCCUGAAAGAUUACUCAGAGCUGGCCAAUCAUUGAUUGUUACAAACAGCAAUGCUCGCAGGUCAAAGUGCUCUUGUUUGUACUCAUCCCACACGCGAACUCUUGGUUUGCUCCAUAAAAGUUGAAGUUCCUCAACUAAUGGCCUUAGGUAGACAUCUAUGUCAUUGCCAGGUUGCUUCGGUCCUUGGAUAAGCACCGGCAUCAUAAUAAACUUUCGCUUCAUGCAUAGCCAUGGAGGAAGGUUGUAGAUACAUAGAGUAACUGGCCAAGUGCUGUGACUACUGCUCUGCUCACCGAAAGGAUUCAUACCAUCUGUACUUAAGGCGAACCGCAAGUUUCUAGCAUCAUCUGCAAAAUCUGGGAAUUCUCUGUCUAUCGCUCUCCACUGGGAUCCAUCGGCAGGGUGUCUCAGCAUAUUGUCUAUCUUACGGUCUUCUUUAUGCCACCGCAAUAACUUUGCAUUGUCCUUAUUUCUGAACAGACGUUUUAAUCGUGGUAUUAUAGGAGCAUACCACAUAACCUUGGCAGGAAUUUUCUUCCUAUGACGUUCUUCACCCUCAACAUCGCCAGGAUCAUCUCAUCUAAUCUUAUACCGUGAUGCCUUACAUACUGGACAUGCAUCCAAAUUCUCGUAUUCCUCCCCACGGUAGAGGAUGCAGUCAUUAGGACAUGCGUGUAUCUUCUGGAUUUCUAAUCCCAAAGGGCAGACAACCUGUUUUGCUUCAUAAGUAGUGGUGGGCAAUUCGUUGCCUUUCGGAAGCAUCUUUUUUAUGAUCUUCAAUAACUGCCCAAAUGCCUAGUCAGAUGUACCAUUCUUUGCCUUCCAUUGCAGCAAUUCUAGUGUGGUACCCAGCUUUUUUUGCCCCUCUUCAGCGGUGGGAUAUAGCGAUUUCCUGUGGUCCUCUAGCAUGCGCUCGAACUUGGCUUUCUCUUUAUCACUUUCACAUUCUCUUUGUGCAUCACGGAUGGCAUCACCAAAAGCAUCAUCGCCCCGAUCAUCUUCUGCCGCCACCUCUUCUUCAUUAUCUCCCCCCAUUGCAACAUCAUUGAAGCCACCGUACUGAGCAAUAAUAUUGGCAUGGUCCAAUUCUUCUUCUUCUUCUUCACCUUCAUCCAUUAUAAUCCCGCUUUCUCCAUGUUUGGUCCAACAAAUAUAGUUUGGUACGAAACCAUACUUUAAUAAGUGUGAAUGAAGAGUUCUUGAGUUAGAAUAUUCCGUCAAAUUCUUGCACACGGCACAUGGACAGCAUAUGAAACCGUCCCUCUUAUUUGACUCGGCCACACUUAAGAAAUAGUGCACGCCAUUAAUGAACUCUUUGGAGCGCCGAUCGGCAUUAUACAUCCAAAUACGUGUUACCAUCUGCAUUAAAUAUAACAUAUAUAUUAUGAAAACCAUGCACAUAUAUAGUUUCUCAUCUUAUUGCACAACAUGUCUAAGAUACAUAGUUGAUUAAUUUAGGAAAGCUUGGCUACAACAAAUACAAUCGCAACUAGCACUAAAAAAACCAAAACUAAAAUGCACUUAAGCAACAUAAUUAGUUCGCGUUCGAUCCCAACUAUAAUAGAUAGAUCAUUCACUUGAUCAACAUCAUUGAACUCCUUUCGUCGGCUCAGUGCCUCACCACCUUCAGCCUCAACCACCUGUGCAAAAGAUUUCUUAAUGGUUCAAUGUAUUCUUCCUCCCAGUACCAACCUGUACAUCCGCCGGUACCGUCCCACUGAAAUUAAAAGAGAGAAUCAAAAGUUUAAUUAAUAUCAUUUAAAAAAAUAUGCACAUAUAUAAGAAAAUGUCUGGAAAUAACUCACAUUACGAUCUGGACACUUGUAGAAUAUACGACCCUUGUUUACUCCCUCUUUCGACACUUUGUACUCCAUCAAAAUUUUCUGCCCACACUUGCCACAAGUAAUGAGAGGGAGUUCCGAACGGUAUCGAUUUUGAACCCGUUGAGAGACCGAAGACCCGGUCACGGUUGCCAUCUACUAUCCAUACUCAAUUUUUAAACAAUUAUAAAUUCCACAUUUACUAGUAAACAUGUAUGAUACAAUGGACAUUAUAUGUAGUAAUAAAAAUAAAUCAAGUGAUAUUAACAAACCAAUUAAUUUGAACUAUCCUACUUUCUAAGAUCAUAAAAAUAUACUAUAAUUCAUUCUUGCAAACUACAUUAAUACUAGGUCAACUAUGAAAUAUGAUAUAUAUAUAUAUAUGGAUACUAAUUCAUGUGAAUGAUUCAAAAUAACAAUGUGGAUUUGAGCUAAAAAUAAUGGGAACAUCACAAGCCAAAUCCAACAUGAAAAAGACAAGAAAGACAAAAGUUAGUCACCUCCAAACACGAAGAAACGAUGAGGGAGUCGAAGAAGAUCAACAAUGGGCGUCGGAGACGAAGAAUAAAUGAGGAAGAAGAAGCUCCAAGAACAACAAUGGUGAAUGGUGCUCUCGGUUUCAAAUGGGCAGAGAGGAGGAGUGAUCCGGCCUAUAAACCGGACCUUUAGAACCGGUUCAUAAACAAAACCGGUGCUAAAGGGUCACCCUUUAGCACCGGUUUGUAGCGCUGGCCGGUGCUAAAGGGGACCCUUAGCACCGGUUGGUAACACGAACCGGUUCUAAAGAGUCUCUGCUCCGACAGCACCUGUCAGUAGCCGUUGGGCAGGAUGGUGUUAAAGGGGUCUUUAACCCCGGGCCACAAAAAGACCGAGGUUUUUGGCCAUUUUAGGCAUCGACCAAUGCUUCAUUCUGUAGUAGUGCAGGCAGGCUGCGUACGUCCAUUGGACGGCACAAGCACAAGUCUAUCUAAGACGAAAUAUGUGAGCCAAACAACGUGAAGCUCCUUCCGUCCACACAUGCAUCAUCUAGAUUAUAUGUGAAGAAGCUAAGUACUGCAACUACGUACUAAUCGGGUAGGUUGAUUAUAGAGUUGUCACUUUCUCAUAGAAUAUUUGUAUAUGUCUGUUAGAUGAAGACUCGUCAUGAAAACAAUGUAUAUAUAAGGACUCAAACGUGGCGGCAAAUGGAUGGCAGCAACCUAUGGAGUUAUUGACUGUUAUUCUUCUGUAGCUUUCCUGUUUGCAUGGGAACCUCAGCAACAGCCAAACAGCCUAUGGAGUACCACUAGAUCCUAGAGUAGUAUCUUUCUGAUAGAAAAUUUGAAUUUGUUUUUUUACGAAGAUUGGUCACGAAAAUAAUGGAUACAUAGAGUCAAACGCGUCGGCCAACGGAUGGUAGCAUAUGGAGCCAUGGACUCUGCUUCGUGUAGCUUUCAGUCGUCCCCACGUCGUUGAUCCCGUUGGCACAAGUAGUACCCUAUGCUUCUAGUGUUUUUUGCUGCUCAUCGCACUAUAAUACAAGACUCUCGUGUGUCUCGUUGAUGCUACAUACUGCCGGACGCAAGACGCCAGCAUUGGCCCUGUCUGCCGGGCAAGAGGAUCUGUCAUAUCUUAUCUUAUUAUUAUACUAACUAAAGACUCAAUGAAUAUAUGCUCCAUAUUAAACCUCAUGAGAUGGUCUACAAGAAUAGAGAAAUUAAUUCUAGCAAAAAUCACAAACAUCCGGCCGUCAAUCCAGAAGCCUCUAACAAUGAUAUAGCCAUUCGAUCUAUUCCAUUUUCUAACAAAAUUAUCCAUGUUUGACAUUAUUGAAACACCGUAAAAUAACCUCUAUAGAAAUGUAUUUACAAAAACUUUUAGUAAAACUCCAUACAAACUACCCACUGCGAUAUUGCUCGCUUGCCCAGUCCUGUAUCCUUGCCACCUACGAGAUGACAAGCAUUCAGCGGCAAAGAAGGAUUUCGGUGUACUAAAGCCUGAAGGUUGAUGCCGUGUCAUGACUCCUUACAAUUUCGAGCACAAUUCUGAAUGCAAAAGUCCUUUGCAGCACCAUUUAGUCUCUUUCUCUCUCUAUACAUAUAGCUAUGAAUCCGUAUAUACUAAAGUAUACAGUUCACCAAUCAUAAUCAAAGAAAAAUUCAUGAUAAUAUUCAUCAUAAGUGUAGGAUAUUAUUCUACAACCAAAACAUCAUAGACAUUUCACAUCUGUGCCAUGUAAACAUCACAAAAAUGCAUUAUAGAAUAUCGCAUAUAUAUUACAUAAAGCAUCACAUGUGUACGUCGUGAAUCAUGAAAUACAUGCAUCUAAAACAUCAUAAUACAACAUAGAAUAUUAUUUUGUCAAAGAACAUCACAGAAUGCAUGAUAUAGAAAUCAAUAUAGGACGUAGAGUACGUGUUCACUUGCAUGCCCGCAUCUUGCGUUCCUGGGACAGCUUCUUGGCGAAUUCCUCGAGUGCCUUGUCGUUGGUUGGCCCGUCAGGGACAUGCUCGUACAAGCCCGUCUCGAGGUUCACCUUCGCCACCUUCUGCUCAAGAACCUUACUUCCAACUUCAAUCAGCGCCUUCAUGUUGUCAUCAGUCGCACAGUCCAUCAACAACAGGUCUCCCUCCAGCAUGUCAGCCUGCAUGGCAAGCAAUCAUAUAUAUAAAAAAUAACAGCUAUAUUAUUGUAACAAUCUGUAAAUAAUAAGUUAUGUGUAGUAGUAGUUUUAUUUAAUUACCUGGAUGCGCAGGAAAUUGUUCUGGCAACCGAGGACAUCGAAGAGCAUUUCAGCACAAACAUCGACCAUGUCGUCGCUGCCUUGAGAGUAGAAGUCGAUGAUUGGGUGGGCACCAUCGUUCAUAACCCAUCCCAAAGGACCCCACUUGUUACAUUCCGCUGCGGUGUACUUCUCCGCCUUGUUGGGAUUCGCAGUGCCCGUCCCGAUGGACAGGACGAGGAUGUUGCUAUAGACGCUCGCAUCCUCCGCCGCCGCCGUGCCCAGCUCCUUGCUCAUCUCUAGAGCUUCCAUGGCGGCCACGGUCGGGUUGUUCAGGUUCAGGUUCAGGUCCAUGUCCCCGACGAGCUCACCCUCCAUGAUCGGCACGGCCCUGUUCUUCAGCUGGCUGCGGAUGCGCAUCACCUCCUUGGUGAGCACGGACAUGGCGACCAUGGUAGGGUUAUUGGCCACCACGCCACCGUCGACGACCUCGUACUGGUGCGGGCAGCCAUUGGCGUCUAUGGUCCGGAAGCUGUGCGCCGGCAGGUACGUCGGUGCCGCCGACGUGGCGAUGCAGACGUCGGCGAGGCGCGCGUUCUUCCCGGCGUCCCGCUCGGCCUCCAGCGAGUUGAAGACGACAGGCUGCAUCCGGCUCACGUCGAACGCCGGGAUCACGACGUUGCUCAGCGUGUCCGCCAGCUUGGUGUCCUUGAUCAGUUUGUUGAUCUUGUCAUGCAGGAACUCGCCGUUGUACUGCGGGCCUCCCUUGAUCUUUUUCCACAUGUCCAUAACCUUUUCCCGUAUGUUGUCGAACCACCAGCCGCUGUAAGAACACCCACAAACAUAAACAGGCAUCCCUACCUAUAAAAUAUGUUAUUCUGUAGCCACCUCCAUUUACGAUAAUUUUAUAUACAAAUUUACAAUAAUAUAUAUACAUAUUUACGAUAGUUGGGUUACUAUAACACAUGAGGAUAUUUACCGUAAUGUUAUAGUGAACUACUUAGUAAGGAGUUACUAUAAUCUUGUAAAUUAAUAUAAUAAUUAUCGUAUCUCAAAGUGGCUACAAAAUAAGUUAUUUUAUAGCCAACUAUAGAGUAAUAGUUCUAUAUUGUUAUUAUCGUAAAUUAGUAUAUAAAAUUAUCGUAAAUGGAGAUGGCUACAGAAUAACAUCCCAUAGAACUAUUACUCUGUAGCUGGCUACAAAAUAACUUUUAUAUAUAUACACACACGCUUAUAUGUACUGAAUAUAAUUGAAGAACACUGCACGUAGUACGCAGUUAAUUAAGCAUGAACCUAGGGUGUAGAAAAUAUAUAUAUAUAUAUAUAUAUAUAUAUAUAUAUAUAUAUAUAUAUAUAUAUAUAUAUAUAUAUAUAUAUAUAUAUAGAACUGGUUGAUCUCCUUGGCUGCAAACAGUGGCCUCUUGUCCUUGCCAGGCGCCGACAGCAUCGCCGUUAUCAGCCCGCCGGUGCUGGUACCAGCGAUGAAAUCGAAGUAGUCAGCAAUCCUGGCGUCCUGCCCGUCUAUCCUCUGCAUGCAGGCAAUGUAACCAAAUGUAUAUAUACAACAAUUAAUUAACUAAUAUAAUACUGAUGAUGUUAUACGCAUGUUGCGUCUGCCGGCGCAUAUUAUGAUAAUGAUAUAUUCAUGCUGGGGGCUAGGCAACAAACAAUACUAACUGAUGAUGAUGAUGAACAAAAGAAAGCAAACUGUCAUGUCAAUUUGUUUCGUUAGUUAUAAUGUUUUAAAUAGCAGGCUAUGACAUUUAGCGAAGAGUUCUACUCAACCCCUACACACACUACUAUAUAGAGAGAUCCAUGCAUUAGGUACAACUUUAAUUUGUGUUGGCAUCGUACUUGGAGCAGAGUCUCGAGGCGAGCUAGGAUGGUUGCAGGGAUGAUCCCACGGAUGCCUCCGCCAUCGAUGCUCAACACAGUGAGAACCCUUCCCUGCUGCGCUGGCGGGAGCGCCAUGAGCACUGUGUUGGAUUCCAUUGUAGUAGCUAACUAAUUAAUUCAGGACUAGCUAGCUUAAUUCUGCAAAUGGGAUUUGUUCGCCUGUCUCCCCGCUCAACGAUGCAGCUCCGUGGAGCUAUUUAUACACCGGCCAGGAGUAUGGAGCUCCCAAGUACUCCCAGCUAUCGUCUCCAUUGGUUUGCAUGGUGCAGUGUCUCUAACAUGGUGUAACUAUUCAAACUAGCUAAAUCAGUGCAUGCAUUCGCACAAGCCACUUUUCAGACUAGAGAUCUCGACAUCUUUUAAGAAAACGUAAUGGCCUUGUUAAAACUAUUACAUGCAUUGUUGAUUGAUAAUAAAUAAAUAAUAUAUGAUUUUAACAUUCACGGUAUAUUCUGAUCUGUACCAUGAUUUUGUUUUGGUUUUGGUGAGAACUGACCAUACAACGAUCAUUACAUUAUCGUUAUUAAUUACUUCUUUAUUUAGUUUAGUGUUUUAAGUCAUUGAGUUUUUAAUAAAUGGUAACUAAAGGAUUCAUGAAAUAUGGCUGAGAAACAAAGGCAUGUACAUGAAUUGAUCAUAUAUUUUUCAAAUUAAAGAUGUUUUACACAGAAAACUUCUAUAUCAAAAUUUGCUGAGGUCAACAAGAUGAAAGAUUAUGUAAUUAACAGUUUGCCUUUUGAGAUGUUUAUGGUCCCUAAUAUGUAAGGUUAUUAUAUAAUUGAGUUAUAAAACUCUAUAUUUGACAAGUUUUAUAUUUGAGAUUGUUUAGGCCUCCAGAUAUGUUUAAUAAUAGAUUCAGUAUAAACUAUAACAAAUGAAUACCCUAGGUGCUCACAAAUGACUACCGCUACAAAAAAAAAAGAUUUUGGACACAACUCAUGCCAUAUGAUUUUUGAUGACAAGGUGGAGCACAUCGUUGAUAAUAAUGUGAGGUGGCUACAGCUAACAGAGAAGCACAUCCAUCAAUCCCAAUCCAAUGCGAACACGGAGGACGCGCGGAAGUGGUUGGCGGCAGUCAAGGAAAUUGCAAGACGUCGCGUCGAGUUAUUUAUCACCUUGCUUGACCAUCACGGCAAUUGGAAUGUAUUAUCCUGUCUUCUAAGAUUUCUUUUGAACCUUGCAACGGAAAUUAAUACAGCAUACAAGGGUGGUAUAUGAGGAUGAAGAAAAAGGCAGCUGGAGAAACCACAAAAGCUACCCUUACACUUACACGCCUUCAUCAGACGAGCAACAGGAAGAAUAAUGGCUAACAAAGGUAACCCUCAAGUAACAUUUGAAUAUUUGACAGUGAAACGGCUAACGAAGGCCAAACAUCCACAUCUGAAGGAACCAGCACGAGCAUCAGAGACAAAACUUCAGCAGAGCGUGAAACACGCGGCAGAAAGAUCCAUCUUCAGUUCUUCUCACUGUCCUUGUCAUCUGUUUUGUCGGAAACUCGAUCUGAACACCCUCUACUAGUAGAGUUGCAAUGCAAACAAACAAAAAAAAGAAGGCUAAAUUAAAGGAAACACCUGCUUUUUCACAAGAAAACCUGAAUUUUUUGACCGUGUAGUCCAAAAAUUGGUUGAUUUGGCUGCAGAUUUGCUAGCCAAUUGGACGCAUCUAGCCCACUCUGUGCGCCCAUGUCGCACCCAUUUCGUCGAAGUGGAAUGGAACAAAAUCACCAGGAAAAUGAAGCGAUUAUCUCAUUGCUGACAUGUUUGUGGUGAGAUCACUAAUUAACCAGCCGGAGGCAACAGCAACGUCGCAUCAACACACCACGCGGCGGUCACCCACGCGUGCCAUAUAUAGAUGCAGACCAACAGCAGUCACAGGCCGUUGCAGGACGAUACAAAUAAAUGAGCUACAGCAUAUGGCCAUUUUAGGACCACCCCUACGGGCUACAGCAUGCCAAUCCAAACAUGCAUACGCAGCCACCGAUGCACGCGUGUUUCAUGGUCGUCAGUGAAUUAUCAGUGAAUUGUCCCCUACUCUAACUGCAUUGUGCAAGCAUAGUAACAGAAAAAAAAGCAUAAAUAACAGAAAAAAUAGCAUAAAUAAUCUAAGAGCAUCUCUAAGAGACCAGAUAAAAUUAUGUUCUAAACUAUAAGAUUUAGUCAUUAUGUAAAAUAAAAAAAAACUCACUCAAAGCGUAGAGUUCCAUAACAGCCUUUGUAUAUUAUAGCCAUUAAAGAUGAUAUGUUAUUUAUGACAAGCAAAAGUUUAGAGAUAUUAAACUUGCUAUUUUAGCAAACCAGAUAGCACACCUGUUGGACUUUAAUUUUUACUUUAAAAAUAUAAAAAUAGUCUAGGUACCAUAGAUAGUAUAUCUGUUAGAAUUGCUCUAAACCAUUUCGCUUUGAAGCGGUCCUUAAAAUUCGGAAGGUAAGUGCAGUGCAAUGGAAGAGCGAUGACCACCAAAGUUGAAUAAACGUAAUGCGAGGGCCUUGUUUAGUUCACUCCAAAAAUCAAAACCUUUUCAAGAUUCUCCAUCACAUCAAAUCUUGCGGCAUAUGCAUAGAGCACUAAAUAUAGACGAAAAUAAAAGCUAAUUGCACAAUUUACCUGUAAAUCGCUCGAUGAAUCUUUUAAGCCUAGUUACUCCAUGAUUACACAAUGUUUGUCAAAUAAAGCCGAAAGUGCUACAGUCCCGAAAACCAAAAAAUUUUCAGAACUAAACAAGGCGUAGGAUGGUGCAAAGUCAAAAAUUCUGUUGGCAGCAGGUAUAAAAUUGGAUGGACUAUUAAAAUGCGGACAAGUAAUUAAACUAUAGUUUCAAUUUACAACAAGAUGGAAAAUGUAUUAGCAGCUUCUUCUUUUCUUUUUUUUUAGGAAAAAAAUUUAUUGACAACUUGAAAGGUGUGGAUUCAUUCAUGGUAGCUGGACCGACCCGUGCAUUUUCUUCUUCUUGGGCCACGAAUAGCUCUAGACUACACCGAGUGAACUCAUAACUAGAAGCAUGCUCAGGCAUGCUGGACUUUGUCUUCCCCUGAACUCAUAUCCACAUGCUAUUAUAUCAAGAAAAAGUCCAUAUUACCUUCCUCAACUUUCACAAAAAUCCACUUUUCAUUUCCAAACUAUAAAAUCAUGCAAAACAUCUCUCUCAACUUUUUAAACCAUUCAUCUUACUUCCCUGACCUGGUUAUAAGCGAUUUUAAAGGUGGUUUUGUCUUUUUUUUCACUUAUUUCAAAUGAAUCUUUAAAAAAUCAUAGUAAUAGAAAAAACAUAAAAUAAAGAAUUUUAAUGUUUUUUAUAAUUAAUUGGAAUAAUUCAUAGCUGUAGUUUCUAUAGUUUUAUUGUGGUAAAAUUUUUUAUAGUGGGCUAAUUAUUGUAUGCUUGAACUUUAUUAAAAAUUUUAUAGUCAUUACAUCAGUAUAUAGGAGCGUGGGCAUGUAACGAAACUUGUUGGCAGGAAGACCAUUGAACCACCAGAAAUGCAUGGGCCGUUUCAGCCGUAUAUUAAUUAGGAGCAGGCCAAAUUUUGGCAGCCCAUGUAAGCCCACUCCUUUUAUACUUCCUCUAUCUCUGUUUGCUUUCUUUUCUUUCACAACUGUCCGACCAUGUAUCCUGAACUAAAAAAAAACAAAAAUCAAGUGCGGCCACUAUUUGAAAUGAAAAUUAAAAGUUAAUUGCCGAUGUUGACAUCGCAAGUGCACACGCCUCACAGGCAAAGGACACGUUAGAUUUGAUUCCACAGGGAGCAAUUUCAGCCCCUCAAAAUUAGUACAAAUUAUUCAAUCGUUCCCACUAGGAAUUAUUCCAAAUGCCCUAUUCCAAAUCAACUGAACAAGUUGUAACGAAUAUUCUUUCGUCUGCCAAGUCAACGUUAGAGUAUUAUUUUCAACGAAAAAGUAGACUACUCUAACGAGAACCUAACUUGAUUAGCAAACGAGAACCCUUGUUUCUAGUCAUUAAGGACACAAAGUCAAACGAGAACCCAACGUGAGGGGCUAUUUAGGCCAUCCUCAGUAAGGUUUUAUUACCCUGAUUUUAACACAUCCAUAUUUUAAAAAUAUAGUAGAAGUAUUUUCCCAUAAAACACUACUAGAAUCCGGCCCUUUGCUGAGUGUCAAAUGGUUUGCUAAGUGUUUUUUCGGGCACACACUCGGCAAAGAAUCUUUGCCGAGUGUCGAAAAAAACACCCAACAAAAAAAUUCAAAUCAAAAUUUGAAGUCCUAAAUGAAUUCCAAUAAAAAAGUUUUCAACUAUAAAGUUGUAUAACUGCUCAAGAUCUACAAUCUUUAUUUUGGUCAUUUCUUCAUUCAAUGACAAAAAUUUAUUCACAAAUUUUACAUAUCUCUCUUAUAAUUUAUGAAACUAAAAGAGAGAUAUAUAAGUUUUGUAAAAAAUGUUAGAACCACCAUGUCGGAUGAAUAAAUGAUUAAACAACUAACAUAAGCUUUGUAGAUCUUAAGAAGUUAUGAAAUUUUUUAGUUGGCAUCUUUUCAUCUGAGUUCAUCUUGUUAUGCAAAUUGCGUCUUUAUUUGAAAAUUUUAAAAUUCAAAUUUUUCAAAUGACCUCGGAUGGAAAAACUCCCUAAGUAAACUUUGUAGAUCUGAAAAAGUUAUAAAACUUUGUAGUUGACAAGUUUUUUAUUUGAAAUCAUCUUAUCAUGCAAAAAUUACGUUUCAAUUUCUCAAAUUUGAAAUACAAAUUUUAUGAAUGACUUCGGAUGGGGAAACUUGCUAAAUAAAAAUUGUAGACCUCUGAAAUCUCAAGUUUGGUUUUGGAUAAUUGAUGAAACCCUAAUACUAACCUCUAUGUUAAGUGUGUGUAGACUUAAUGAGGUUGGUACAUGCCAAGUAAUGGAGCAAGAGAUGAUCAUGGUGAUGAUGGUGAUGACCACAACAUGAUCAAGUGCUCAACUUGGAAAAGAAGAAAGAGAAAAACAAAACCCUAUGGAGAUCAAGGUAAAGGUAUUGCUUAGGAUUUUGGUUUUGGUGAUCAAGACACCAUAGAGGGUGUGAUCACAUUUAGGAUAGAUAGCCGUACUAUAAAGAGGGGAAUUCUUUGGCUGAGCGGUUAUCAAGUGCCACUAGGUGUCAUUGUUCAUGUGCAUGCAUUUAGAAUCUAGUGAGCUAACUUAAUUCCUUCAAAGAAAUUGUUUGUGAAAAUGCUAACACACGUGCACACUUGUUGGUUCACACUUUGUGGUGUUGGCACACUUUGAGAAGGAGGUGGAGUUUGAAGGGUAGAGAGAGGAUGGGUUCCUCUCUCCCUCCCGUCGAGCUUGCAUGGCGGGAUUCGGCGCUUUUUUGAGAAAAUGAAGUGCAUAUUUUCUAUUGCGCCGGUGGGAAAUUUGGUGAAGUCGCGGGAGUGUUUCUCGCUGAGAAAACACUCACCGGACGCUGGCUUCUGGAGCACCGGACGCCGCGUCUGAGCGUCCGGUGCAGACAGUGCCUGGCCCAGCUAGGGUAAGGCAUCGGACGACAGGCACCGGACGCAGGCCUGUGCGUCCAGUGGUUAGCGUCCGGUGUGCGGGCGUUUUGCGACCCUCUCUGCGCAUGGGUCCGGUGAGCACGGGACGCUACCGGUGCUUAGCGUCCGGUGACCCAAAGGUUUGCGGAACUCUCUGCGCAUGAGUCCGGUGUGCACCGGACGCGUUCGGUGCUAACUUGCUCAGCGUCCGGUGCACUGCAGGUGACCGUUAGACUCUGACACGAGAAGUUCAAAAGGCGACACGUGGCUGACGUUGGAGCACCGGACACAAGGGCUGAGCGUCCGGUGCCCCUUUAAGAGCGUCCGGUGAGCUCGAGUUUUGCCUAGUGAGAGAGCCAACGGCUCUAUUUGUUUGAGGGGUCUAUAAAUAGUUGUUGGCCAGCUUGGGGCUCACUCUCUUGGCAUUCUAACAUACUUGACAUCCUUGUGAGCCUAAGCAAACACCUCCCACUCAUCUCCUUCAUUGAUUAUUCAUCUUUGUGAGAUUGGGAGUGUUUCCAAGUGCAUUUGCUUGAGUGAUUGCAUUUAGUGGCACUUGGGGAUCGUUCUAGCUGCGGUUUUUCUUGUUACUCUUGGUGGUUGCCGCCACCUAGAUGGCUUGGAGCAGCGGAGGAGCUUUGGCACGAGUUAGUGAUUGUUCGUGGCCAUCUCCCGGUGAUUGUGAGGGGUUUGUGCCUACCUCGGCGGAGAGCCAAAGGCAACAUUAGUGGAUUGCUCGUGUUAUUGAGCUACCUCAUUUGUGGGUAGGUUCUUGUGGUGUCCUAGUGAGGACGAGGUUCGUGCUACACCUCUUAGCCACCGAACCACCAAGUGUUGGUCGACACAACGAGGACGUAGCGUGCCGGCAAGCACGUGAACCUUGGGAGAAAAAUUGGUGUCUCAAUUGUGUUUGAUUGGCAUUCUCCCAGUGCUUGAUUGUUUAUAUUGGUGAUUGGUUCAUUCCCUACUCAGUGGUAUAAUUUUCUCAUCCACUCUUUUACAUUCCCGCAAACUAGAGUACCUUACUUACUUGUAUAGAAAAUUUAGGUAGCUUUCUAGUGUUAGUAGCGACAUAGCUCUUGUGUGCCUAGUGUUUAUAUCAACUAGAAUUGUGGGAUAGGUGGCUUGCAAACACCCCUUUAGAGCUAGAGCAAAAAGCUUCGCUUUGUUAUUUACUAACCUCUUGCUCUAGUGAGUUUGUAGAAUUUUUAAAUAGGCUAUUCACCCCCCUCUAGCCAUAUUAGGACCUUUCAACCUCAAAAAAGUUAUGAAACUUUAUAGUUGAUAACUUUUUAUUUUCAAAUCGUUUAGAAUCUCAAACAAUCAAUUUACACGUGGUUUCGUACACUACUACAAAAUUUAUUAACCAUGACCUUUUAAAAUGGCUCUCGGAGGCGGGCAGCAUUUUCAACUGCCUCGGCUAAUGCCUAGCAUUAACCGAGGCGGUUUUUCUAAUGCAACCGCCUCAGUUAAUGUAUUAACCGAGGCGGUCAUGUUAUAAAGCCCGUCUCAGUAAAUCGAGCCCAAUCCACAAACCCACUUCAGGCCCACUACCAUAGGCAAUAUAUUAACGAAAUAUCAUGUCAAACCCUAACUCCUCUCCUUGUCUGAGCCGCACACUCUCCCCAUCCCCUCCCCUCCCGACUAGUCGCACCCCUCCCUUCUCGGCCCCUCCACUCCACUCCACUCCACUCCCGUCCUGGCACCCCUUCUCUCGGGGACGUGGACGUGAAGUACUCCCGAAGGUCCUCCACCAUGCCUUAGAAACCAUGUCGUCCACGCGCUGGUCUAGGUAGUCGUCUAGCACUACGCCAUCCACGUCCACCCAGAGAAGGCAACACGGGAACCUCAGCAACGGCCGGUAGCACCCGUCGGUGGCGGCCUUGAACGGGUCACCGCCGCAGGUGGUCGUCGGCGAGGAGCACGUGGGUGAGCGAGUUGGAGCCCCUGGCCAUGAUGGGCACCCACCCACGCGUCGCGACGGAGGAGCAGCCUCGGCGACCAACGUGCGGUAUGACGGCAUGGGGAGCUCACCCGCGUCGACGCGGACCGCGCGCCCAGGAGGUGGUGUGGGACGCUAUGGGGGUAUAAACCCCUAUACCCUCAUGGGCCUAUAUGGGCCGCACCAUCAGAGGUGGCUCGGCCCACAGGAUGAAGACGUGUGGCGCACGACUGGUCGGCGUGCACCGGAAGGCUACAAGAUAUUGUACCAAAUAGGAUACUUUGCUUGUAACUCUGUCCCUUCAGGAUAUAUAAGGAGGGGCAGGGGUCCCCUAGAGGACAGAUCAUACAGAUCAUACAGAUCAUAUUCUCUCAACACAAAUCAAUACAACCAGACGCAGGACGUAGGUAUUACGCCAACUCGGCGGCCGAACCUGGAUAAAAAGCUUGUCCGUGUCUUGCGUCACCAUCGAGUUCGUAGUUUGCACACCGUCUACCGACAAACUACUACCGUGGGUAUACCCCAAGGUAGACUGCCGACUAGCUUUCGUCGACAGUGGCGCGCCAGGUAGUGGGUGUGCGUACAGCUCUCCCGACGAACAAGAUGGCCAUCAUCCCCGACUUCGCGGCCAUGGCGGGCGACUUCACGUUCACCGUCAGCUUCAACAACUUCACCGCCAUGACCACGGAGGAGGUGUAGAUCCGAUCUGCGCCAACCACUUCUUCAUCAACGUCGGCGGCGGCUUCAACCACGCUGGCUACGACUCCGACUACUCCAGCAACGUCUCCGACCAUGCUGACAACGCAUCACCCGCUUCCCUGCUACAAAGGGAGACAGAUCGACAACACCGACCUGCUCGGGCCAUCGACCAAAUUUUUUGGCCUACUUGCUCUGACCACCGGUCGCAAUAAUUGCCGUGAAGAACGGCGCUACGACAACCGCGACCACCGUCACGACAACAAGUCAAGCAGCUCUCCCGACCAGACUUUCGUCCAAAGAUAAGUACAAUUCUAAUAUUUUAUUUAUUUUUGGCAUAAUAUUUUUAAUAUUAUUAUCCUUCAAAACAACUUUUUGGUUAGCCGACUAGUUUCUUCUCCUACACGAGUUUUCCAGAGUCGGUACUGUCUCCGACUCCUCCCUACACGUGCAUGAGAUCCGUCCUCUACGUUCCGGGUGGUCGGCAGUAGCUCUCUGGCGAGGCUGGCAAUCCCACGCUUGUCUAGGUUCCGCACCUCAUGCUGAUUGUUGGCUAGACCAGAGCUGGUACAAGCUUUAGGAUGAAUUAACUACUCGUGCUAAUUUUAUAAUAAAAAAUCUAAAACUUACCUCAGUGUUGAUUUUUUAUCUAGAGUUUAUUUAUACAUCAUGUACUACCUAUUCUUUAUAUUUAUUUUUCAGGAGUUUGGCCCAGUCGACAAGCUACGCUCGGGGACUCGUCGACUAUUCCCUACGCUGUGCCCGGGGACUGCUCCGACCACCGAGCACGUUUACGUUCCCAACCACGCUCGGGGACUUGUCGACUAGUCUCUAUGCUGUGCUCGAAGACUGUGCCGACCACCGAGCAUGUUUACGUUCCCAACCACGCUCGGGGACUUGUCCACCGGUCCCUACGCCGUGCUCGGGGACUGUGCCGACCACCGAGCACUAUACGCUCGGGGACUGGUCGACCAGCUCACCAAUUUGAGAGUUUGGAGACUGCACUGACCACCGAGCACUAUACGCUCGGGGACUGGUCGACCAGCCCACCAAUUUGAGAAUUCGAGGACUGUACCGACCACCGAGCGUUAUAUGCUCGGGGACUGGUCGAUUAGUCUAUUCAAUUGCAGACGAGCAUGAUAUGCUCGGGGACUGGUAAAUUCAAUUUUUUAGACCUUGCUACAAGGCUCAUACUUCGCCUCCCAGCAAGCUCGGGGACUACAUCGGUACGAUGCAUCUGGCGAUGCAUCUCGUUUCAGAAUUUCUUUGAGGACUUUUCUUUUGACCCUGGCACCACGUGCCUACGUCACCUACUAUCAGGCUUGGGGACUAAGUGGGCACACUUCACCUUGCGGUGAAUAUGCUUGCUUUUUUGAGGUCUAUACUUUUCAGAAAAGUAAAGUGGGCACACUUCACCAGGAAAGAAAUCUUUUUUAAUUAAGAGCACCAUGCAUUCUUCGAACAACCUGCUUCUUCGAUGUCAAUGUUGAUCAACUGUCUUUUGAGUUGGUCAAAAUACCGUUGCAACUGUUUGGGCGACUUUCCUACUUAUUGAAGACGUCAAGCCUCACUGGUCGAAGAAGCUCAAGACGGCGUGUUACAUCACAAUACAUGGUGCUUGGGGACUAGCUGUGGGGGUAUAAACCCCUAUACCCUUAUGGGCCUAUAUGGGCCGCACCAUCAGAGGUGGCUCGGCCCACAGGAUGAAGACGUGCGGCGCACGACUGGUCGGCGUGCACCGCAAGGCUACAAGAUAUUGUACCAAAUAGGAUACUUUGCUUGUAACUCUGUCCCUUCAGGAUAUAUAAGGAGGGGCAGGGGUCCCCUAGAGGACAGAUCAUACAGAUCAUACAGAUCAUACAGAUCAUAUUCUCUCAACACAAAUCAAUACAACCAGACGCAGGACGUAGGUAUUACGCCAACUCGGUGGCCGAACCUGGAUAAAAAGCUUGUCCGUGUCUUGCGUCACCAUCGAGUUCGUAGUUUGCGCACCGUCUACCGACAAACUACUACCGUGGGUAUACCCCAAGGUAGACUGCCGACUAGCUUUCGUCGACAGACGCUGCGGCGGUCAGCAUGCAGCACCUUGUUGUCGGCCAAUGUGCGUUGUGGCCGUGCUGGCGAGCAGUGGAUUUGUUCUAGCACCGAUGAAGGUAGAAAACCCUCUUUCUCUCCAUCUCCUUCACUCAUCCCUCUCUUCCCCUCUUCAUCUCCCUCACCUUCUCCCUUUUAGAUCCAGUGGAGCAAAGGCAGAUUUGGUGAAGCAGAGGCAGAGUCUGGGCGUGGAUCUAGCUCUGGGGCUAGGAUUAGGUAGUGGAUCUAGCCAGUGGGCUCGGAAACGGGCUCUCCGUUGGGCUCUGGUCUUUUUUAUUUUUAUUAAAUUCAUUAACCGUGGUGGUCUUCCUUGCUUGCCCACCGUGGUUAAUCAAUUAACCGUAGCGGGCACAGCGGUUAAGCCACCAUUAAUGGUGACCUUUCAUUCGCGGCGGUCACAUGUGCCCGCCUCGGUUAACAAAAAACGAUCAUUGCAGUAAAGAAUUUUAUAGUAGUGGUAUAAUAUAUGAGGAACCGAAAUGCAAUAUAACACAAGGGACAAUGUGGUUGGUAGAUUCGGCUGAUAAGCUCAAGCGAACAGGUUGUGGACACGGUCAAGGCCCAAAGGAGAGGGAGGGAAUACAGCCGGCAGAUCAGACGAGACGAGGAGCUUGACGCAAAACGAAAUGCUAGCGGACCUGAUGCUAAGAUGGAUUUGAGUUUUGGAGUGAAACACUAGAGCAGCACAAGGAGAGAAAAAAAGAACACUUUCAUUCUUUCUGUCUGAUUCAAUAGAUCAACAUGGAUGAAUUGCAUGCAAGUGCCAGGGUUAUUACAUUCAUCGUCUCUAGCUAGUCUCCACUUAUUAAAUACUGCUCAACCAAGAAAUCCAAUAUAUAUUCUGCUGCGGUGUACUUCUCCGCCUUGUUGGGAUUCGCAGUGCCCGUCCCGAUGGACAGGACGAGGAUGUUGCUAUAGACACUCGCAUCCUCCGCCGCCGCCGUGCCCAUCUCCUUGCUCAUCUCUAGAGCUUCCAUGGCGGCCACGGUCGGGUUAGGUUCAGGUUCAGGUCCAGGUCUCCAACGAGCUCACCCUCCAUGAUCGGCACGGCCCUGUUCUUCAGCUGGCUGCGGAUGCGCAUCACCACCUUGGUGAGCACGGACAUGGCGACCAUGGUAGGGUUAUUGGCCACCACGCCACCAUCCAUGACCUCGUACUGGUGCGGGCAGCCAUUGGCGUCUAUGGUCCGGAAGCUAUGCGCCGGCAGGUACGUCGGUGCCGCCGACGCGGCGAUGCAGACGUCAGCGAGGCGCGCGUUCUUCCCGGUGUCCCGCUCGGCCUCCAGCGAGUUGAAGACGACAGGCUGCAU
RNAcentral lists this long non-coding RNA (21735 nucleotides) under Sorghum bicolor (sorghum). Its description in RNAcentral is "long non-coding RNA (SBIC_LNC009732)". The record is from RNAcentral. Lineage: Eukaryota; Viridiplantae; Streptophyta; Magnoliopsida; Poales; Poaceae.